RNAcentral lists this ribosomal RNA (498 nucleotides) under uncultured bacterium. RNAcentral's name for it is "bacterial SSU rRNA". It matches the Rfam family "Bacterial small subunit ribosomal RNA", at positions 29 to 507 of the family's 1533-position model. The record is from RNAcentral.
AGCGAACGCUGGCGGCGUGCCUAACACAUGCAAGUCGAACGGUUCUGUUGGGGGCUUGCUCUCGACAGAGUAGUGGCAAACGGGUGAGUAACACGUGGGUAAUCUUCCUUCGAGUGAGGAAUAACUUCGGGAAACCGGAGCUAAUACCGCAUAACAUCUUGGAACGGCAGUUUCAAGAUCAAAGGGGGCGCAAGCUCCCGCUUGAAGUUGAGCUCGCGUCCUAUCAGCUAGUUGGUGAGGUAAUGGCUCACCAAGGCUCCGACGGGUAGCCGGCCUGAGAGGGUGGCCGGCCACACUGGGACUGAGACACGGCCCAGACUCCUACGGGAGGCAGCAGUGGGGAAUAUUGCGCAAUGGACGAAAGUCUGACGCAGCGACGCCGCGUGGGUGAUGAAGGCCUUCGGGUCGUAAAGCCCUGUUGAGGGAGAGAAAGCUACUGUCGGUUAAUACCCGGCAGUGGUGAUAGUAUCCCUAGAGAAAGCACCGGCUAACUACGUG